UUCGAGUGGCGGACGGGUGAGUAACGCGUGGGUAACCUGCCUUACACAGGGGGAUAACACCUGGAAACAGGUGCUAAUACCGCAUAAGCGCACAGGGCCGCAUGGCCCGGUGUGAAAAACUCCGGUGGUGUAAGAUGGACCCGCGUCUGAUUAGCUUGUUGGCGGGGUAGGGGCCCACCAAGGCGACGAUCAGUAGCCGGCCUGAGAGGGCGGACGGCCACACUGGGACUGAGACACGGCCCAGACUCCUACGGGAGGCAGCAG
RNAcentral lists this ribosomal RNA (264 nucleotides) under uncultured bacterium. RNAcentral's name for it is "partial 16S ribosomal RNA". It matches the Rfam family "Bacterial small subunit ribosomal RNA", at positions 90 to 354 of the family's 1533-position model. The record is from RNAcentral.